GGCGGGGGCGGGGGCGCGGCGCCAGGGGCGUUCUUACCUGCCCCCAGGUUAAAGGAGAUCCUGGCCUCUGCGAGAGAUGCGGUCUCAGUAUGUUGUCCAGGCUGAUCUCAGAUCCUUGGCCUCAAAGGAUCCUCCUGUCUGGGUCUCUCAAACUGCUGGGAAUACAAGCAUGAGCCACCACAGCUGACGAACAGCUAUUUUUGAAUAAAGUAAAGGAAGAGAGGGAGGGAGAGAAGAAGGAAGAAG
This 246-nucleotide long non-coding RNA is filed under the name Homo sapiens (human). RNAcentral describes it as "non-protein coding lnc-TBC1D7-4:1". Lineage: Eukaryota; Metazoa; Chordata; Mammalia; Primates; Hominidae. The record is from RNAcentral.